CGCUAGCGGCAGCUUAAUACAUGCAAGUCGAGGGGCAGCAUGAAGUAGCAAUACUUUGAUGGCGACCGGCAAACGGGUGCGGAACACGUACACAACCUUCCUUUUAGUGGGGAAUAGCCCAGAGAAAUUUGGAUUAAUACCCCGUAACAUAACUGAGUGGCAUCACUCGGUUAUUAUAGCUUCGGCGCUAAAUGAUGGGUGUGCGUAUGAUUAGAUAGUUGGCGAGGUAACGGCUCACCAAGUCUACGAUCAUUAGCUGAUGUGAGAGCAUGAUCAGCCACACGGGCACUGAGACACGGGCCCGACUCCUACGGGAGGCAGCAGUAAGGAAUAUUGGUCAAUGGACGCAAGUCUGAACCAGCUAUGCCGCGUGAAGGAUUAAGGUCCUCUGGAUUGUAAACUUCUUUUAUCUGGGACGAAAAAAGGUCUUUCUAGACCCCUUGACGGUACCAGAUGAAUAAGCACCGGCUAACUCCGUGCCAGCAGCCGCGGUAAUACGGAGGGUGCAAGCGUUAUCCGGAUUCACUGGGUUUAAAGGGUGCGUAGGCGGGUAGGUAAGUCAGUGGUGAAAUCCUGGAGCUCAACUCCAGAACUGCCAUUGAUACUAUCUAUCUUGAAUAUUGUGGAGGUAAGCGGAAUAUGUCAUGUAGCGGUGAAAUGCUUAGAUAUGACAUAGAACACCCAUUGCGAAGGCAGCUUACUACGCAUAUAUUGACGCUGAGGCACGAAAGCGUGGGGAUCAAACAGGAUUAGAUACCCUGGUAGUCCACGCCCUAAACGAUGGAUACUCGACAUACGCGAUACACUGUGUGUGUCUGAGCGAAAGCAUUAAGUAUCCCACCUGGGNAGUAC
This 852-nucleotide ribosomal RNA is filed under the name Bacteroidetes bacterium SCGC AAA206-C09. Its description in RNAcentral is "bacterial SSU rRNA". It matches the Rfam family "Bacterial small subunit ribosomal RNA", at positions 34 to 883 of the family's 1533-position model. Lineage: Bacteria; Pseudomonadati; Bacteroidota. The record is from RNAcentral.